ACUCUUCAACGACGAACAUCACCAACUGAUGUUUCAACGAUUUUACAUUUAUACGGCUAUCAUCAAAGAAAUGUAAAUAAAUUUACGGCAUUUUCGAUAAAAAGAUUGUAAAUUUUAUUGUGCGAGAGACAAACAAUUACUAUAGCUUCCGUACUUCUGAUAACAAUCCGUUAAGAAAUCAAAAAUCUUCAAGUGGUUGUAAGAAAACGAAAAAGAUCCAAACGAAAAUAAUUAUAAAAAUUACCCUAACAAAAAAGAUUUUUUUCUUUUUCUUUUUUACAUAUAUAUAUGGUUUUUCCCCAUUUGGUGCAUAUUCAUGCAUCCCUUUCCCACCGUUACGCAUUUUGUGCACGUGAUACCUAAAUUCAUGUUUGUAUUUUCCCGGAUAGCUUUCGUUUCGUUAUCAUUUCCGCAAAUAUAUGUACUAUAUUCGGAUAUUUACAUUCUGUCUACUCAAAACGAAAGAUCGCCGAUCGCCCCACAUUAAAAUACGGCGAUCGAAAGAUUGCCUAAAAUACAAAUCAAAAACUCAAGAAAAAAAAGAGGAAGAAAGAAAGAAAGAAAAAAAGCAUCAAUUGAAGACGUCCUCGAUUAGUCCCGAAGGUCGCUAAAUGUUUUAUAUGUACUUAAAACCAAAGAAUAUUGAAGACGUCCUCGAUUAGUCCCGAAGGUCGCUACAAAACCACAUUAAAAUACAAAUCAAAAACUCAAGAAAAAAGGAGGAAGAAAGAAAGAAAGAAAAAAAGCAUCAAUCGAAGACCAAUGUCCUCGAUUAGUCCCGAAGGUCGCUAAAUGUUUUAUAUGUACUUAAAACCAAAGAAUAUUGAAGACGUCCUCGAUUAGUCCCGAAGGUCGCUACAAAACCACAUUAAAAUACAAAUCAAAAACUCAAGAAAAAAGGAGGAAGAAAGAAAGAAAGAAAAAAAGCAUCAAUUGAAGACGUCCUCGAUUAGUCCCGAAGGUCGCUAAAUGUUUUAUAUGUACUUAAAACCAAAGAAUAUUGAAGACGUCCUCGAUUAGUCCCGAAGGUCGCUACAAAACCACAUUAAAAUACAAAUCAAAAACUCAAGAAAAAAGGAGGAAGAAAGAAAGAAAGAAAAAAAGCAUCAAUCGAAGACCAAUGUCCUCGAUUAGUCCCGAAGAUAACCAAAGAAUAUAUUAGUGAAAAAUCUGAUUAGAGAAAUCAGAGGGCUGAAGUAGCAAAGGAUCUUCUCAAGCAAAUUGGUUAAGCUGACAGCAGUGAAAUUAUUCCCCAUGUUGAUCAGUUUAUUAACAAGAAUGGUGUCUCAAAAGAUGAAAUCCUAACUAUAUCUGCCAUCUUGCCUAUUUCAACUUUUCCUUUCAAUUUUCACCCGUGUUGCUCUGAUGUCACUGUGUCUACAUAAAGUAUUUCUGGAGCAUUUGUUUUGAAAAUUAGACUUUCGACCAUCAAACCAAAUCCAUUCUUCUUCAAAGACUGAUAUUUUAAAACAUUGUUUAAAAUUUUGUGUUCUCAAGCAUUUUGUGAAAGACUUUUCAUUCCUAUCUAUGUUUGCCUAUGUUCUUUGGUGUGUCUUGUUGCACACCAUGACAGUAUAAUUUCUUAUGGGGAGGAAAAAAAAAUUUAGAGACUCGGAGAGAGCUGAAGAGUUUCGUUAUGGGAGAGAAUUUAAUUCAUUUAUAAUUAUAAAUGCAAAAUUCUGUUUGUCCGUCCAUCUGGGACCUCUGUAUCUCAGUCUAUAUUUGCUCUACAUAGACAUAUUAUACCUAUUUUGAAUCAUGAUGAUCCCACGAUUGAAAAUCUGCCCUUCAUUUGAUUCUUGAACAUCCAGCAUUGGGAUCAGGUCUAGAUGAGGAUUUGUUAUCUGCUAAUAGUUGAAAAUUCAAAUUUUAAAAGAACUCCAAAAAUUUGUGAACUUUUUUCAUUUAAACUGAAUUUAAAAUAAUACCAUAUUGGUUGGGUAAUACCAUACUGGUAGGGUAUCAAUAAAUGCUUUAUUAUUAUUGCUCUCUUUAGUUUGGGGCUGCAGGCCCAAUUAGCCCUCCAUAGGAGCUAGCUUAAAAGUCCACAUGGAGUACAACUUUUAAGCUAGUAUAAUCUAAAUGUAAAAAAUUGCUUUGAGAUUGUCUUGCACAGUGUUGUAAAUCAAAUUUAAAGCUAUCUACCUUGUGUGAAAAAGUAAAGUAGAAGCAAUAAAGUAGGAUUCAACAAAAGAGCAAUUUUGGUUCACAUUCUUUGUCCAAACACCUCAACAAUCAUAUCCAAAUGAUUGAGUAAUAUAUUUUCAUAUUGAAUUAAAAUUUCCCCAAAUUACUACAUUUUUUUCCAUUCAGAAUGGAAUUUAUUGUGGUUUUUUAAAUUCUGAAUUAACCUUUUCUCUCUUUUGUCCUCACUGCCUCUCAAGCCUGGCAUCUUUCCUUCUUCCUUUUAAACCUACUGCUUCAUUAGUAACUUGCUCAUAUGAGUUCACCUACAUACACACACACAACUGUGACACAAAUGUAACUUACUAAAUACCAUGCAAUCCAAUGAAAUAUCAACAGUGGAGUCCAUCACUGCCAAUAUUAAAGGAUCACCAGCAAUACACCAGAUCUUAUUGAUGUUUUGUUAAUGUAGCAAGACCUAGGAUUCAAUCCCCAUUUGCUGUUAUCAGGCUAGUGCUAUGAUUAUCUGACUAUCAUCUGUUCCCUAACAUGAAAAAACACUUGGCUGGGAACUAGUAUUGCAGUGAUGGUGACAUCAUAUCUGCUGUUAUUGGACUUUUUUGAUUAACAGGACGAAAGCAUCUUCACCAAUGGGAUCCAAGCAUGUUGAAAGAUAAACUUCAUUUCAUCACAUUCCAUGAGAAUAUCUUAGUCCACCCAUGAACUUUUCAGCCAACACUCAUACUCUUACACCAAAGACUACAGUAACAAUGGAGACGAGCUCACAUUCACAAUAGUGAUGACCCAAUACCAACAAGUUAUCUCACUAUGAUGACAAUCUAUAUCACCAUGACAGUAAAUUAAGAACUGUAUAUCUCCACCUAAUACUAUAUGAGUUGCAGCAUCACUGAUGCUAAGCUGUAUCCUUUGCCUUUCCCUUGGAUAACAUCAGUGGCAUGGAGAGGGAAAGCUGGUAUGCAUGGGUAACUGCUGGUCUUCCAUAAACAGACUUGUGCCUCAGAUGGUAACUUUCUAGGUGCAAUCGCAUGGUCAUUCAUAACCAAAGAGGGUCUUUACCCUUUAUCCUUACUCUUUACUAUAUGUCUCUAUCUAACAGCCUAAUUCUGUAUUUGAAUGUACCCACUCCAGUGUUGUAUGUUAACUUCUUUGCCAUCCAAAAUAAACAGACCAUUGUGACCUCGCAAAUCUGCCUCAACCACCCUUCUACCUCACAUCUCAUAACACUUAAAGUAAUUCACUUUAUAACUGUGAGCCCUACACCCAAUCUCCACCAUCCGUUUCCCAUGCAUUCUUCCACUAACCCUGUUACUUUAUUAUCCUUUCAACAUUACUGGAAACUCUUUUAUCACAUCCUACCCAGUCCUUAUUAAAGAAUUUUGUAUGAAUAUUUUAUUUCUUAUAUUUAAUUAAAUUUUCAACAUUAACCUAGUUGAAACUGAAAUUUAAAUUCAAGUCUUGGGCAGAAAUAUCAUUAUUACAUGAAAAAUAAUAUUAGAUGCAGAAAUUUGUCUUUUAUUGAGUUCAUUAGAUAUUUCACUAAACCACUCAUAAUUCUUGAUUAUUUUAAAUAUUAAAGCCAUUCUGAGACUCCUUUUUU
Octopus sinensis (East Asian common octopus) is the source of this 3742-nucleotide long non-coding RNA. RefSeq lists it as uncharacterized. The record is from RefSeq and is a predicted model, not a curated record. The transcript has 2 exons. Lineage: Eukaryota; Metazoa; Mollusca; Cephalopoda; Octopoda; Octopodidae.